This is a long non-coding RNA of Thunnus maccoyii (southern bluefin tuna), 2579 nucleotides long. RefSeq lists it as uncharacterized. NCBI's taxonomy places the organism in Eukaryota, Metazoa, Chordata, Actinopteri, Scombriformes, Scombridae. The record is from RefSeq and is a predicted model, not a curated record. The transcript has 2 exons.
UCGCUCUUGUAUAACUUAUAUAAAAAAAGAUAUAUUCUUUGUCGUUCAAGGUUAACCCGAAAUAAAAGCAACGCCUCAAACGCAGAAAGGCACACGAUUCAUUCAUGUUUUGGAAGUGGUUCGCAAACUUUCUUCUAUCGAAUCACCAUGCACUAUGAGAGUUAACGUUACUGAUAUGCGAACUAUUAAAAACAAAAUGGACCUCGUCGAUAUUCUUGCAUGCUGCCGAAUGUGCAGGCAGACGGCAUUACUGUUUAUAAAACGUCUUAUGUGUUGUUUUAUUUUUGCAUGUCGGCGAGGUCACAAAAGUGUCGAUUGUUGAAAUGAAGUUUGGCGUGCUUUAAUCUCCGUACAUGAGAGAGGGGAAUAGUUGAGUACACACCCGGAAGUGAAGUGGCUACUCGCUCACCGGCAGCAGCAACAUAUAUCAGUCUUUUCCCCUGAAACAUGGGGGCUGUAGAUGUUAUAUGAUAAUGUGAGAUGUCGGUGGGAACCGUGUGUGGUCUUCGCGAAUUUAAGGAGUUAAGCUAACUAAUGCUUCUUUGACAGAGCCUGUCUGACCUGCAGCACAGCUGAGCCUCCCUGUCUGCUCUGCCAUGCCUCUGGUGGUGGACGCUGUGUGGGCGCUGUGGAGCAUCACAGCCGGCAUCUACGACUACUUCCACACCAACGCCAUGGAGGAGAGGAUCCACACGCUGGAGAACGUCCUCUCUAUCCACCAGUUUGUGAUCGCGGCCCUGUCGGCAGGCCUCAUCCUGCUCAUGACAUAUAUACUAUGGAGAAAACACUGAACCUGAACACUGACCAAGGCCAAAUGCCCACUGCUCAGGGUAGUUUCCAUCCUGAUAUUGGCCAAUGUGACAGUUUGGCUCAAAUGACUGCUCACAGUUGAAGAUCGAGCAUGUUUGAUAAUGGUUAGGAGGUCCCAAUUGAGGUCAGCAGCACUGAUGGGAAACUAAACAAAGGCAACAAAAUUUAAUAAGGACUCCAUCGAUGUGCGUGUAGUGAGCGCUUUGUCUGUCUAUCUGUAUGUUUUUUGGAUGUUAAACUGUCCUGAGAAGAUGUCUGCAGAUCAUUGUCCACAUUAAUAACAAAUCAUAAUAGCUUCUCGAGGCAACUUUGCACUUUGACAUUAUUUCGCCAAGCUUGAAAGACUUCACUGUCUAGAAAAGUCAUCUGAGAUGAUGCCAUUAGAUUAAACACCUUCCCCGUGUGUGAUGGUGGGUGACGAUUUAUGUGGUGGAGAGGUUUAGUCAUUGUUGGUUAUGACAGCUUUCUCUGGACGGCGGAGAUGCUGUUGGAUUUAAAACUUGAAUUGUUGUGGACGCAAGGAGUGACAUUGGUUGCUACUAAGUUCUUUAACCCUAUUCUUACAAGAUUACAACAAAGUUACCUUGAGAUCAACUGCCUUGUGUUUACAAAUGAAUCAUGCCAUUUAUUAGGAAAUGAUGGAUGUUUUUGUAGCAUAGCAUAGCUUUCUAAGACCGUAUCCCUGAGAUACUAGUGAAUUUAUCUCAUUAUCCUGAUAUCCUGGCAUUUAUCUCAUGAAGGGUACUUUUCUAUCUUGAGUUAACAAAAGGUGGUCUUAACUAAUACUCUGCAGGCCUCCUUCCUCUCCCCUCUGACAUUUGUGCUCAGUGACGCCUCUGUCUCUCUCAAAGCUGAGAGAAAAGUGUCCAAGCUGGAUCCCACUUUGGAUAAACCAUAAAAUGUGAUAUUGAGACAUUUAAGUCACAAAAACAUUGUAGUUAAUUCUUUAUUACAGUACAAUUUAUUUUCUCAAGAUAAUUAAGUUGUAAUGUUGAGAUAGCAGGAUUUAGUUGGUAAAUAUGGUGAAGAUGUGUUGUCUCCAACAGGUGGGGGGAUAGGGGUGCCAGCAUGUGACUCCCAGAAGACGGUGUGUUCCACUUUCUAAAAUUGAUGUCAUGCUAUGUUGUCAUACAUAGCAGUGCUUUGAUGGGAAUGUGUAGCCGUGGUCAAACUGGGGAUAAUCGGUUGAAAUUGGACUCCUGAGUCUUGCACAAACCUCCCUCAGAGCCGUGAGAGGGACAGUCAGUGGUUCUAACUUGCAGAGUUAGUUUAAGGGCUGGAAAUGAUCUUGUUACACUGUUACGGUAAAGUCAGAGCAGGGGUUUAAAAAACUUACAGAUGCCUUCGGCUGCUGUGGUCUGUGUCAGUCCUGGUUUCAGGUGACAGACCAGGAUAAGAAUUAAGUAAACACUGGGAAUUAAUUCAACCUAUAUAUGACCUAUUUUUUCAUGUGGAAGAGAAGGGGUCGGAGAUGUGGGAUUUUAGAGGUCCAUCUAUUUAUUUAUUGUUGUCUAAGUGUUUUGGAAAGGCUUGUUGUGACUGUUGACACUGUUUUGAGAUUGUCAUUACCCAUUUUCUCAUGCUUUUUCUUACUAACCGUUAAAAAUAUGGUCUAAUGAUUCAAUCAAAUAUUGUUCACUUGCUGUUGUACCUGACUUUCUGGGGUUAUUUUUCAGUGUACUGUACGCACUACUAUAUGUUACUCUGACAAACCACUACAAUGGCCACUAUUAAAGGGAAUAUGUUUGAAUAAUAAAUAAUAAAUCAUA